UACAGAGGGGGCAAGCGUUGUUCGGAAUUACUGGGCGUAAAGCGCGCGUAGGCGGCUCGGAAAGUCGGUCGUGAAAUGCCGGGGCUCAACCCCGGGACUGCGUCCGAUACUUCCGAGCUGGAGGCAGGUAGGGGAGAUCGGAAUUCCUGGUGUAGCGGUGAAAUGCGCAGAUAUCAGGAGGAACACCGGUGGCGAAGGCGGAUCUCUGGGCCUUGCCUGACGCUGAGGCGCGAAAGCUAGGGGAGCAAACGGG
Molecule: ribosomal RNA, 253 nt
Filed under: uncultured bacterium
Lineage: Bacteria
Description: partial 16S ribosomal RNA
Rfam family: Bacterial small subunit ribosomal RNA
Source: RNAcentral